UUAAGCGACUAAGCGUACACGGUGGAUGCCCUGGCAGUCAGAGGCGAUGAAGGACGUGCUAAUCUGCGAUAAGCGUCGGUAAGGUGAUAUGAACCGUUAUAACCGGCGAUUUCCGAAUGGGGAAACCCAGUGUGUUUCGACACACUAUCAUUAACUGAAUCCAUAGGUUAAUGAGGCGAACCGGGGGAACUGAAACAUCUAAGUACCCCGAGGAAAAGAAAUCAACCGAGAUUCCCCCAGUAGCGGCGAGCGAACGGGGAGGAGCCCAGAGCCUGAAUCAGUGUGUGUGUUAGUGGAAGCGUCUGGAAAGGCGCGCGAUACAGGGUGACAGCCCCGUACACAAAAAUGCACAUGCUGUGAGCUCGAUGAGUAGGGCGGGACACGUGGUAUCCUGUCUGAAUAUGGGGGGACCAUCCUCCAAGGCUAAAUACUCCUGACUGACCGAUAGUGAACCAGUACCGUGAGGGAAAGGCGAAAAGAACCCCGGCGAGGGGAGUGAAAAAGAACCUGAAACCGUGUACGUACAAGCAGUGGGAGCAUGCUUAGGCGUGUGACUGCGUACCUUUUGUAUAAUGGGUCAGCGACUUAUAUUCUGUAGCAAGGUUAACCGAAUAGGGGAGCCGAAGGGAAACCGAGUCUUAACUGGGCGUUAAGUUGCAGGGUAUAGACCCGAAACCCGGUGAUCUAGCCAUGGGCAGGUUGAAGGUUGGGUAACACUAACUGGAGGACCGAACCGACUAAUGUUGAAAAAUUAGCGGAUGACUUGUGGCUGGGGGUGAAAGGCCAAUCAAACCGGGAGAUAGCUGGUUCUCCCCGAAAGCUAUUUAGGUAGCGCCUCGUGAACUCAUCUCCGGGGGUAGAGCACUGUUUCGGCAAGGGGGUCAUCCCGACUUACCAACCCGAUGCAAACUGCGAAUACCGGAGAAUGUUAUCACGGGAGACACACGGCGGGUGCUAACGUCCGUCGUGAAGAGGGAAACAACCCAGACCGCCAGCUAAGGUCCCAAAGUCAUGGUUAAGUGGGAAACGAUGUGGGAAGGCCCAGACAGCCAGGAUGUUGGCUUAGAAGCAGCCAUCAUUUAAAGAAAGCGUAAUAGCUCACUGGUCGAGUCGGCCUGCGCGGAAGAUGUAACGGGGCUAAACCAUGCACCGAAGCUGCGGCAGCGACGCUUAUGCGUUGUUGGGUAGGGGAGCGUUCUGUAAGCCUGUGAAGGUGUACUGUGAGGUAUGCUGGAGGUAUCAGAAGUGCGAAUGCUGACAUAAGUAACGAUAAAGCGGGUGAAAAGCCCGCUCGCCGGAAGACCAAGGGUUCCUGUCCAACGUUAAUCGGGGCAGGGUGAGUCGACCCCUAAGGCGAGGCCGAAAGGCGUAGUCGAUGGGAAACAGGUUAAUAUUCCUGUACUUGGUGUUACUGCGAAGGGGGGACGGAGAAGGCUAUGUUGGCCGGGCGACGGUUGUCCCGGUUUAAGCGUGUAGGCUGGUUUUCCAGGCAAAUCCGGAAAAUCAAGGCUGAGGCGUGAUGACGAGGCACUACGGUGCUGAAGCAACAAAUGCCCUGCUUCCAGGAAAAGCCUCUAAGCAUCAGGUAACAUCAAAUCGUACCCCAAACCGACACAGGUGGUCAGGUAGAGAAUACCAAGGCGCUUGAGAGAACUCGGGUGAAGGAACUAGGCAAAAUGGUGCCGUAACUUCGGGAGAAGGCACGCUGAUAUGUAGGUGAAGUCCCUCGCGGAUGGAGCUGAAAUCAGUCGAAGAUACCAGCUGGCUGCAACUGUUUAUUAAAAACACAGCACUGUGCAAACACGAAAGUGGACGUAUACGGUGUGACGCCUGCCCGGUGCCGGAAGGUUAAUUGAUGGGGUUAGCNGCGAAGCUCUUGAUCGAAGCCCCGGUAAACGGCGGCCGUAACUAUAACGGUCCUAAGGUAGCGAAAUUCCUUGUCGGGUAAGUUCCGACCUGCACGAAUGGCGUAAUGAUGGCCAGGCUGUCUCCACCCGAGACUCAGUGAAAUUGAACUCGCUGUGAAGAUGCAGUGUACCCGCGGCAAGACGGAAAGACCCCGUGAACCUUUACUAUAGCUUGACACUGAACAUUGAGCCUUGAUGUGUAGGAUAGGUGGGAGGCUUUGAAGUGUGGACGCCAGUCUGCAUGGAGCCGACCUUGAAAUACCACCCUUUAAUGUUUGAUGUUCUAACGUUGACCCGUAAUCCGGGUUGCGGACAGUGUCUGGUGGGUAGUUUGACUGGGGCGGUCUCCUCCUAAAGAGUAACGGAGGAGCACGAAGGUUGGCUAAUCCUGGUCGGACAUCAGGAGGUUAGUGCAAUGGCAUAAGCCAGCUUGACUGCGAGCGUGACGGCGCGAGCAGGUGCGAAAGCAGGUCAUAGUGAUCCGGUGGUUCUGAAUGGAAGGGCCAUCGCUCAACGGAUAAAAGGUACUCCGGGGAUAACAGGCUGAUACCGCCCAAGAGUUCAUAUCGACGGCGGUGUUUGGCACCUCGAUGUCGGCUCAUCACAUCCUGGGGCUGAAGUAGGUCCCAAGGGUAUGGCUGUUCGCCAUUUAAAGUGGUACGCGAGCUGGGUUUAGAACGUCGUGAGACAGUUCGGUCCCUAUCUGCCGUGGGCGCUGGAGAACUGAGGGGGGCUGCUCCUAGUACGAGAGGACCGGAGUGGACGCAUCACUGGUGUUCGGGUUGUCAUGCCAAUGGCACUGCCCGGUAGCUAAAUGCGGAAGAGAUAAGUGCUGAAAGCAUCUAAGCACGAAACUUGCCCCGAGAUGAGUUCUCCCUGACNNNNNNNNNNNNNNNNNNNNNNNNNNNNNNNNNNNNNNNNNNNNNNNNNNNNNNNNNNNNNNNUGAGAGAAGAUUUUCAGCCUGAUACAGAUUAAAUCAGAACGCAGAAGCGGUCUGAUAAAACAGAAUUUGCCUGGCGGCCGUAGCGCGGUGGUCCCACCUGACCCCAUGCCGAACUCAGAAGUGAAACGCCGUAGCGCCGAUGGUAGUGUGGGGUCUCCCCAUGCGAGAGUAGGGAACUGCCAGGCAUCAAAUU
RNAcentral lists this ribosomal RNA (3044 nucleotides) under Escherichia coli. Lineage: Bacteria; Pseudomonadati; Pseudomonadota; Gammaproteobacteria; Enterobacterales; Enterobacteriaceae. The record is from RNAcentral.